This 175-nucleotide ribosomal RNA is filed under the name Bacillus subtilis. RNAcentral's name for it is "partial 16S ribosomal RNA". It matches the Rfam family "Bacterial small subunit ribosomal RNA", at positions 1 to 172 of the family's 1533-position model. Lineage: Bacteria; Bacillati; Bacillota; Bacilli; Caryophanales; Bacillaceae. The record is from RNAcentral. RNAcentral also lists the same sequence under 1 other name.
UUAUCGGAGAGUUUGAUCCUGGCUCAGGACGAACGCUGGCGGCGUGCCUAAUACAUGCAAGUCGAGCGGACAGAUGGGAGCUUGCUCCCUGAUGUUAGCGGCGGACGGGUGAGUAACACGUGGGUAACCUGCCUGUAAGACUGGGAUAACUCCGGGAAACCGGGGCUAAUACCGG